This 534-nucleotide ribosomal RNA is filed under the name Campsicnemus montgomeryi. Its description in RNAcentral is "partial 12S ribosomal RNA". Lineage: Eukaryota; Metazoa; Arthropoda; Insecta; Diptera; Dolichopodidae. The record is from RNAcentral.
UUGUGCCAGCAGCUGCGGUUAAACAAAGAAUACAAAUAAAUUUUAUAAAUAUAUAAGUUAAAUUGAAUUUAUUUAAUUAAUAAAAAAAAUUUAGGUGAAAUUUUAUUUUUUUUUAAUUAAUAUAAAAAAUUAUAUUGAAUCUUGAAAAUUUUAUUUUUAAACUAGGAUUAGAUACCCUACUAUUAAAUUAUUUAAAAAUAUAAGAUUAGAGUAGUAAUAGUUAUGGUCUUGAAACUCAAAAAAUUUGGCGGUAUUUUAGUCUAUUCAGAGGAACCUGUAAUGUAAUCGAUAAUCCACGAUGGAUCUUACUUAAUUUUGUAAUUUAAUUUGUAUAUCGCCGUUAUUUGAAAAUUUUAUAAGAAAAAUAAUUUUCUAGAAUUUUUAUUAAAAAAUAAAUCAGGUCAAGGUGCAGUUUAUAAUUAAGUUUUAUAUGGGUUACAAUAAAUUUAUUUAUACGGAUUAAAAAAUGAAAUAUUUUUAAGAAGGUGGAUUUGAUAGUAAAUUUUUAAAGAUAAAAAAAUUGAUUUUAGCUCU